UACUCGUGCGCUAUUAUGUCGCACGUCUGACAGAGGCCCCUGCCGUCUCCUGUGUGAACUAUUACUUCGAGAGAUACGCUGUGUUUAUAUUAUUCAUCGUUCUCCUAUUGGAAAUGCGCAGUUCUCGUGCAAAUGGCCAUAUAAACGCGGGGUACACUUGCUGCGAAACUGCCAAGCUGGGGUACUGGGUUAGACAGUUAUUCGGACUCUAGCGAGUGAGAGGGGGUGUGGCUCAGUGGGCGGUUGUAGGCGUGGUUUCCUUGACAGCCGGAGCUGUUCCCGGCAUGCCCUGGGGCUGGCGGGGUUGGUUCUAACGUAUUUGAAUGAGGAGCUCUGCGCUUUCGGCGCCAUUUUCGAGUCAUGACUCGACCGUACACUUUGGUAGGGAGCUGUGGCGGGUAUGCGUGGAACUAUAGACGGUGCGGCUGGGAUGUUCGUGUCUCCCGAGGGGGUGGGGGGACAGGAGGACGAGGGGAGUGGAGAUGGACGGGGAGUGGGAGGUGAGAGCCUCAAAAAACAACGCACAGUGAUCGCUGUCAGCGGAGCAGCAGAAACAGAUAUCUUGGGCGUCAACAAAAACUGAAACUGUUGAAGGGCAUUGUCUCGGGGCUUCACAAAGCAAUUCCUGCCAAGCUGACUUAACCUGCCACUGAAAGACAAUGUGGUUAAAUGACCUUGAAGUAAAGUAGCAGCACAUAAUGGUUUGUGGGUUACACAGAGGUGCAGGCCAUACUGUGCUGCCGCCAAAACACAAGGCUUUCCUCCCCUCAAGUGGACGCCAUUUCUAAGAGAAUUAUCCGUGUGUUGUCGCCAGCAGUCCUUUAGCAGCACGUAAAUAUUGGAGUUGAAAUGGUCCCAAUAUUAACUGUGCUGCUAGAGUAAAGCUGGUCCAUCUCAAGGAUCAGAACCGGCUGCUGUGGCCCCCAACUUGUUGUUCCAAUGCAAAUCUCCUCCUAUUCAUAGCUGUGUAUUAUACUUCAAGGAAAACUACCCCCAAAAUGAAUACUUAAGCAACAGACCGUUUAUAUCAUAUUAAGUGACAUAUUAAAUUUAUUUUAGUAAACUGGUAUAUAUAUUUAAGUAAAUAUUGCCCUUUUACAUCUCUUGCCUUGA
Molecule: long non-coding RNA, 1113 nt
Organism: Xenopus laevis (African clawed frog)
Lineage: Eukaryota; Metazoa; Chordata; Amphibia; Anura; Pipidae
Exons: 3
Source: RefSeq, a predicted model, not a curated record